CCAUCUCCAAUAACUAAAUGACAACAUUCAUUCUUCCUAUCGUCUAUCAAUGCCAAAUGAGAAUGAUCUUUCCAAGUUUUACCUCUGAAAGAAUGGCAAAAAAUUUGAAUAUAGGAUGUAAAUAAAUAGUAAGGUUAGGCAAGUUUCUUAGCUCGUCCGCUCGACGGAGCGCCAUCCUCUUUCUUGGUACCCAGAUGCCUCGGCUUUUCUAGCCCAU
This is a long non-coding RNA of Hibiscus syriacus, 217 nucleotides long. RefSeq lists it as uncharacterized. The record is from RefSeq and is a predicted model, not a curated record. NCBI's taxonomy places the organism in Eukaryota, Viridiplantae, Streptophyta, Magnoliopsida, Malvales, Malvaceae. The transcript is spliced from 3 exons.